Molecule: long non-coding RNA, 581 nt
Organism: Dendrobium catenatum
Lineage: Eukaryota; Viridiplantae; Streptophyta; Magnoliopsida; Asparagales; Orchidaceae
Exons: 3
Source: RefSeq, a predicted model, not a curated record
AAAAAAAAUCCUCUUGGUUUUAUUUUUAGUGGCUCAUUCUUAUGAUUGGAAGAUGUUUUGUAUAUUGAAAUAUGAAAGUUUUUAAUUCCUACUGUCUAAUCUCCGUUCCUUCCUUGCACUUGCGAGCUAACCGGGCCGGGUCGUGACAGUAAAGUUACAACAAAUAGAGAUACCAUUGUGAAGAAGAAGAAGCAUAUAGAUUGGAAUUCCUUUCUCAUUUUUCAUCUUCCAUUUGAACUAUAGCUACUAACAUGUAUAUGAUGUCGGGUUGUCCGCUAUAUGGCAGUAAAAUCACUCCAUUAUCUUUUUUUCAUAGUUUUUAUGUUGCUGGCUUGUCCACUAUUCUAAAAGACUUUGAUUGAAGUUUUUGGUUCAACGGCAAGAGAUACGGCUAAGCAGCUUAAGGAGUUGGUAGAUCUAUUGAGAGCAUGAUCAGAAGUGGAUGACUGGCCAGAUUAUCUGGUCUAAAUUUUCUUCAGGGGCAUGGAUGAUUCUGGUAUUCAACCUAACUCUCAUUCAGAGUUACAUAAAGCAAAGUUAGAUGUAAUUAUGUCUUAGAAGUUUUAUUAGCUAUAUUGAUU